This 274-nucleotide ribosomal RNA is filed under the name uncultured bacterium. RNAcentral describes it as "partial 16S ribosomal RNA". It matches the Rfam family "Bacterial small subunit ribosomal RNA", at positions 523 to 796 of the family's 1533-position model. The record is from RNAcentral.
AUACGGAGGGUGCAAGCGUUAUCCGGAAUCAUUGGGUUUAAAGGGUCCGCAGGCGGACUAAUAAGUCAGUGGUGAAAUCCUCUCGCUUAACGAGAGAACUGCCAUUGAAACUGUUAGUCUUGAAUUCGGUCGAAGUAGGCGGAAUGUGUCAUGUAGCGGUGAAAUGCAUAGAUAUGACACAGAACACCGAUAGCGAAGGCAGCUUACUAGACCUGGAUUGACGCUCAUGGACGAAAGCGUGGGGAGCGAUCAGGAUUAGAAACCCUAGUAGUCC